GCCGGUUACAUAAAUGCUGGAAACGAGCCAAGUAAAACAGCCCCCAAACAGAUGGCCAUGUGUGUAAAUGCCAGAAAGUGAGAACAGCCAUUUGCAAUAUUUUUUUAAUACCCCACACAUGGUAUAAUAUUUAUUUUACAGCCUCUCUUAUGGACUUAUGUGGAUCAUUCUUGUCAUUUUUCUAGGAAAAAUUCCCAAAGGAAGCAGUCAUAAAAUACAAGAAGAAAGAAAGAAGGAAAGAAAGAAAGAAAGAAAGAAGGAAGGAAAGAAAGAAAGAAAGAAAGAAAGAAAGAAAGAAAGAAAGAAAGAAAGAAAGAAAGAAAGAAAGAAAGAAAAGGAAAAAGAAGGGAAUAAAUAUAAGAGUGUGUCUUUGGGCAAAUCUAAGUCAUCGGAGUCAUCCACACAACGUCUUCAGGGAUCAAGUAUUCUAGGAAAGUGCUAUCUGUGCCUAUUAAGAAAUGUCAACAAAGGAGAUUUUACAGAACUAAAACUUUUGCAGCUUAAUUCAGGUGCCAUGAAGUUAAAAGUUCAGCAACUCUCAAAGCUGGAUUGGAUAGCAGAUUGACCUGCUUGAUGGAAUCUCUGCAAGGAGUUUCAAAAUAUGGAAAAUUGAGCCCUGAAAUGUUAUGAUGUUGGUAUUGGCAACCAGCACUGCUGAAUUGCAGAGAAAUACAGGAUCCUCCUGCUGUUUCCUUUUUGCUGAAUUCCUUUCUGGCCUCUUGGAAAAGUUCCCUUGGGGCAGUUCUGCAAAUAUAAACCUCCUCAUGUAAAUGAGUUGUUUACCCU
This 786-nucleotide long non-coding RNA is filed under the name Chinchilla lanigera (long-tailed chinchilla). Its description in RNAcentral is "lncRNA (ENSCLAG00000027003.1)". Lineage: Eukaryota; Metazoa; Chordata; Mammalia; Rodentia; Chinchillidae. The record is from RNAcentral.